UACGUAGGGGGCUAGCGUUGUCCGGAAUCAUUGGGCGUAAAGCGCGCGUAGGCGGCCCGGUAAGUCCGUUGUGAAAGUCAAAGGCUCAACCUUUGAAAGCCGAUGGAUACUGCCGGGCUGGAGUCCGGAAGAGGCGAGUGGAAUUCCUGGUGUAGCGGUGGAAUGCGCAGAUAUCAGGAGGAACACCGAUGGCGAAGGCAGCUCGCUGGGACGGUACUGACGCUGAGGCGCGAAAGCGUGGGGAGCAAACGGG
This 253-nucleotide ribosomal RNA is filed under the name uncultured bacterium. RNAcentral describes it as "partial 16S ribosomal RNA". It matches the Rfam family "Bacterial small subunit ribosomal RNA", at positions 524 to 776 of the family's 1533-position model. The record is from RNAcentral.